RNAcentral lists this ribosomal RNA (207 nucleotides) under uncultured bacterium. RNAcentral describes it as "partial 16S ribosomal RNA". It matches the Rfam family "Bacterial small subunit ribosomal RNA", at positions 568 to 774 of the family's 1533-position model. The record is from RNAcentral.
GGUGUAGACGGCUUUUUAAGUCGGAUGUGAAAUCUCUUGACUUAAUCAAGAGAGGUCAUUCGAUACUAUUAGGCUUGAGGACGGCAGAGGAAGGCGGAACUCCCGGUGUAGCGGUGAUAUGCGUAGAUAUCGGGAGGAACACCAGGGGCGAAGGCGGCCUUCUAGGCCAUUCCUGACGUUGAGGCCCAAAAGCGUGGGGAGCGAAAC